This 406-nucleotide ribosomal RNA is filed under the name uncultured bacterium. RNAcentral describes it as "partial 16S ribosomal RNA". It matches the Rfam family "Bacterial small subunit ribosomal RNA", at positions 30 to 526 of the family's 1533-position model. The record is from RNAcentral.
AUUGAACGCUGGCGGCAGGCUUAACACAUGCAAGUCGAGCGAGCGGCGGACGGGUGAGUAAUGUCUGGGAAACUGCCUGAUGGCGGGGGAUAACUACUGGAAACGGUAGCUAAUACCGCAUACCAUCAGAUGUGCCCAUAUGGGAUUAGCUAGUAGGUAGGGUAAUGGCUCACCUAGGCGACGAUCCCUAGCUGGUCUGAGAGGAUGACCAGCCACACUGGAACUGAGACACGGUCCAGACUCCUACGGGAGGCAGCAGUGGGGAAUAUUGCACAAUGGGUGCAAGCCUGAUGCAGCCAUGCCGCGUGUAUGAAGAAGGCCUUCGGGUUGUAAAGUACUUUCAGCGGGGAGGCGUUACUCACAGAAGAAGCACCGGCUAACUCCGUGCCAGCAGCCGCGGUAAUUC